AUGCCGAUGAUCGUCCAGAGGUUCGUGGACUGGACGGUGUCAUGGCUGCUGAUGUACGGAGAGGCGAAGCUGCUGCUCGUCAUCUACCUCUGGCACCCCAGCACACGGGGUGCGGGGCACGUGUACGAUGGCUUCCUCCAUCCGCUGGUGGCGUGGCACGAGGCCGACAUCGACCGGGGCCUGCUUGAGCUGAGGGCGAGGGACGUGACAGCGUCACAACUCAAGGCGGUGGCUGCCAUCGGUCAAGUGUGGCUCGUCGAGGCUGCCCGCUGUGUUCCGUCGCAGCUACAGGCCACGAGAUCAGGCCGUGAAGGCGCCACGCAUUGA
This 327-nucleotide ribosomal RNA is filed under the name Triticum aestivum (bread wheat). Its description in RNAcentral is "partial small subunit ribosomal RNA". The record is from RNAcentral. Lineage: Eukaryota; Viridiplantae; Streptophyta; Magnoliopsida; Poales; Poaceae.